Lycium barbarum (goji berry) is the source of this 2385-nucleotide long non-coding RNA. RefSeq lists it as uncharacterized. NCBI's taxonomy places the organism in Eukaryota, Viridiplantae, Streptophyta, Magnoliopsida, Solanales, Solanaceae. The record is from RefSeq and is a predicted model, not a curated record. The transcript is spliced from 2 exons.
UUUUGCAAUUUUAGGUAUUACUUGUAUUUUAGGUAUUGUACACUUGUUAGUGUUGUACACUUGCUUCAUCUUGUUCACAGGUUAGUGUUGUACACUUGCUUGACUUGUGUAAUUAUGGGCUGGACUGAUUUUGUUCUGGGUUUGACAAAAUAGUAUAUUCGUAUUUCCAGAUGUUAUUUGUUCGUAUUUUAAGCACAUUCAUGCUGAGCAUUGACAUCACGACUUUGACCAAAUAAAAUUAUCAAACAAAUGUUUGUGUUAAUAAUCCUUUCAAUUAAGCAACUUUACCUUAUUGAGUAGUGAUCCAGACUGAUAAUUCAUUAGAGCCGAAGUUUCCAGAUGUUAUUUGUUGACAUAACAAAGUAUGAUCUUAUUAAACAAGAUAUCCGCCACUAAGGUGAAGAGGCCUACUCAAAUGUACCCUUGUCUGUCGAAUUAGGUUUCCAAAUCAGACGAUAUAGACGUUGGAGUAACAGUUGACAUUAGAUAGUGAAGGUUAACAAUGCCACAAUGUUUAGAUGAAUUUGCAGAAACUUAAGAUAAAAGUUAACAGGCAUACACAAAUUGAAUUUUGGUGUUCACAGAAUUCUUUGGUGAUCGCAAUAAUGGACUAGAUUUUUUUUUUUAAUUCUUUAUGCAGUAGUAGUUAUUGAAGAGGAAAACAACUUGUUCUUUCCAUUCAGUGUGUCUUUGGCAACAUCAAGUUAUUGCUGCUUGAUUUAUUUGAAGUUAGUUGAUAUGGAGCAGCUUUCUUUUAGCUAUGGUUUUCUCAAGUAUAUGUGUCAAUAUGUUGAUAAUUAUAACUGAAUUGUUGCAAUCCAUUUUGGUUAUUGAGAGGUUGCUGGAAAAUACUGCACGGUUUUUGAAGAGAUAUAAGGAAAACUACUUGGAUUAGUUGUAACCUUCUGUUUAAAAGAAUUAGUUACAAUUUCUUGAUGUGAAGUGUUUGCUUUUUUUUUUUCCGCUCUCGCUAAUCUUUGUGCAUCUUUUUCUCCUGCAAGGAUAUAAUAUAUAUAAUAUAGUUUAUUAGAAGUUCCAGAAAUGAUUAUUAAGUUAAACUACUUCAUUAAACAGAUCCUUACUUCAAUGUUUAAAAGGUUAAGGAGGGGUUUUUUGUGGACUUUAGAACUAAUAUUAAGACCAACAGUACCUUUAUCUCGACAAGUUGAACUAAUCAUCGAAAUAAAACUUCACAUAACUCAUAGGGAUGUUAAAGUAUUGAUUACACAUUUUCACUUAGGAAUUUAAGCUGUAAAAAAAAAAAAAGCAGAGGUAAAAACCAGGGAGCAAUUAAACACCAGAUUCGUGCUUAACAUGUAUGAAGAAAGAGCAAAACUAAUGGUAACUAAAAUAAAUUAUAUAGCAGCAGGACCAAAAAACGAAAAAAAAGGGAAAAUCACUCGACAUUAAAUCUAAACAGCAACAAAACUAUGAAUUACAAGCAAGACUAAAAUACUACAAACCAUAUCAAAACAAGACCUAAAACAAAGGAGUAAAAUUACCUUUUUCUGAGCAGCGACUGGAGCGACGAGCUUCGAGGAUCAAUUUUCACCACUGAACUUUGGACAACGAUAAGGUUCUACUUUGAGCCAGUAGAACCAAACAAUCGCAAAACAAAAUAGAACAAGAAUUCUAAACUUUUCCGACGAAUCGAGAAAUCUCCCUGUCAAGAUGAAAUUCUUGACUUUGAGUAAAAGAAAUCUCUGUCUUGUUUGGGGUCUGAUUGAAGGUCUUGAGAAUUGCUAGCUGCACUAUCUGUAUACGGUUGUGACGGUUAGUCACCCUAAUGUUCUUUGCAGGUGUAAUUAGUUUAAGAUCUUUAAUGCAUUUGAUGGAUAUUUUCUUGUUGGUAUACUGUUGACCCAAAUUUUUUCGAUUAUGUACGUUUUAUUUAGGAAAAAAUUCAGCUAGCAGUGAAUCAAAGUACUGUGGAUGAGUCUGAAAUUUCUCCCAAUGAUGUUGUGGGUAAGUUGCUAGGAAAAGAGCAUUCUGGGAGGGUAAGAUGUUUGGGAUUAGGAGCUACUCCAAGCACUCAUUUUAAACAAACAAAACCUCAUGUUGGUGGUAUUAGAAUUCCAAGUAAUGAUGUUGGAUGUUCUUCUUUCGGAUGUCAAGACAAGUACAAUAAAUUGUUGAAUACUCUCAAAGCCUACAUGAUAAUGAAGGAAGGGUCAAUACUAGAACAGUUUGCUGGGAUCUUUGGUUCACCUCCUGCAACGCCAAGUGACGCAGGUAGCAGCUAGCGGAUCCAUGGAUUCAAGAUUUUCUAGCUCUAGUAAUCAUGUAAUAUGAUUAGUUGACUAAAGUGGAUUUUGUGACGAUUUUAGUUGAUGACAUUUACUUGUCUUAUUAUUUUGUAUGCUUUAAUGGAAUGUUGAUAUUUCU